This 497-nucleotide ribosomal RNA is filed under the name uncultured bacterium. RNAcentral describes it as "partial 16S ribosomal RNA". It matches the Rfam family "Bacterial small subunit ribosomal RNA", at positions 28 to 507 of the family's 1533-position model. The record is from RNAcentral.
GAUGAACGCUGGCGGCGUGCCUAAUACAUGCAAGUCGAGCGAACAGACGAGGAGCUUGCUCCUCUGAUGUUAGCGGCGGACGGGUGAGUAACACGUGGAUAACCUACCUAUAAGACUGGGAUAACUUCGGGAAAUCGGAGCUAAUACCGGAUAACAUGUUGAACCGCAUGGUUCAACAGUGAAAGACGGUCUUGCUGUCACUUAUAGAUGGAUCCGCGCCGCAUUAGCUAGUUGGUAAGGUAACGGCUUACCAAGGCAACGAUGCGUAGCCGACCUGAGAGGGUGAUCGGCCACACUGGAACUGAGACACGGUCCAGACUCCUACGGGAGGCAGCAGUAGGGAAUCUUCCGCAAUGGGCGAAAGCCUGACGGAGCAACGCCGCGUGAGUGAAGAAGGUCUUCGGAUCGUAAAACUCUGUUAUUAGGGAAGAACAAAUGUGUAAGUAACUAUGCACGUCUUGACGGUACCUAAUCAGAAAGCCACGGCUAACUACGUG